This is a non-coding RNA of Pantherophis guttatus, 565 nucleotides long. Lineage: Eukaryota; Metazoa; Chordata; Lepidosauria; Squamata; Colubridae. The record is from RefSeq and is a predicted model, not a curated record.
UCACAUAACUGUAUCAGUUGCUAAGAAACAAGAGAGCAAGAGCAUGCUAAUAUACUAGUCACAUCUCUGUGGGCCUACCACUAGGAAAUGAUCAGCCACCAUGGGAAUUAAAUGCUGGAUUCACCUUUGAUCUAAUCCAGCCCUGUUCCAAUUUGUCCACAGUUAAACUAGAUUUCUAACACAAGAAACUAAUUUACAUAGAACUAGAAUGCAUCAACUGUGAAAGAAUUACGACAUAAAGGAUUGUGGUUGCUGGUUAAUCUAACGAAGUGUCUACUACACCAUGGUAUGGAUAAUGAAUGAAAAGAGGGUAACCAAGAAACUGAAAAAAGCAAAGAAGAGAACUACAUCCAACAAGUACCUUUUAUAUGGCAAGAAAAGCUGUACUGCUGAGCCUUUUAGGAUGUUCAGAUAAUCUUUUUGCCUUUUUUUUCAUUUUGCCAAAGAGUAGAAUUAAAAAAUGCUCCAAAAAUAUUUUUUCUUCAUACAUAUGCGAAGAUUAAUUCAUAACAAAUGAGCUAGACACUGACAUAAUAUCAAGUGUAUUAAACCUGCAGGCAUUUUA